AAAAGAAAAUAACAAUGAUUCCCUCAGUAACGGCGAGCGAAGAGGGAUAAGCUCAAAUUUUAAAUCUGUUGGGUUUCACCUAACAGAGUUGUAUUUUGAAGAAACGUUUUCUGCGUCCAGGAUUAGCCUAAAUCCUUUGGGAUAAGGUAUCAUGGAGGGUGAGAAUCCCGUUCAUGGUUAAUCUUAAGGAUGCUCUAACGAUACGUUCUCCAAGAGUCGAGUUGUUUGGGAUUGCAGCUCAAAAUGGGAGGUAAAUUUCUCCUAAGGCUAAAUAUUGGCGAGAGACCGAUAGCGAACAAGUACCGUGAGGGAAAGAUGAAAAGAACUUUGAAAAGAGAGUUAAACAGUACGUGAAAUUGUUGAAAGGGAAACGAUUGAAGUCAGUCAUACCAACGGGAAAUCAACCUCUUGAGUUUGGUCUCGUGGGUUUGAGAGAUUUUAAAAGCCUUCGGAUUUUCGAGAUUGGGUUUUUCUGGUGUACUUUCUCGUACGGUUAGUCAACAUCGGUUUUGAAUGUCAUAAAAUGACUGGAGGAAUGUGGCUUCGAUCUCGUAUUGAAGUGUUAUAGCCUUUGGUAGAUGUGAUGUUCGAGACCGAGGAUUGCAACGGAUACCCUUCUGGGCUAUUCGUCUGAUUUCUGAAACGUUGCCUUGAUGUCGAAAGCUUGCUUAUGAUGUUAGGGUAUUACGGUCAAAAGGUUAGAACGGAUUAAAUUCCUUAAGGAUGUUGACGUAAUGACUUUAAACGACCCGUCUUGAAACACGGACCAAGGAGUCUAACAUAUAUGCGAAUGUUUGGGUGAAUAAACCCUUGCGCGUUAUGAAAGUGAUUUUGGGGAGAUCCGG
RNAcentral lists this ribosomal RNA (845 nucleotides) under Funneliformis caledonium. RNAcentral's name for it is "LSU rRNA". It matches the Rfam family "Eukaryotic large subunit ribosomal RNA", at positions 57 to 745 of the family's 3401-position model. Lineage: Eukaryota; Fungi; Glomeromycota; Glomeromycetes; Glomerales; Glomeraceae. The record is from RNAcentral.